Molecule: ribosomal RNA, 253 nt
Filed under: uncultured bacterium
Lineage: Bacteria
Description: partial 16S ribosomal RNA
Rfam family: Bacterial small subunit ribosomal RNA
Source: RNAcentral
UACGGAGGGUGCGAGCGUUGUCCGGAAUCACUGGGCGUAAAGGGCUCGUAGGUGGCCAACUAAGUCAUACGUGAAAUCCCUCGGCUUAACCGGGGAACUGCGUCUGAUACUGGAUGGCUUGAGGUUGGGAGAGGGAUGCGGAAUUCCAGGUGUAGCGGUGAAAUGCGUAGAUAUCUGGAGGAACACCGGUGGCGAAGGCGGCAUCCUGGACCAAUUCUGACACUGAGGAGCGAAAGCCAGGGGAGCAAACGGG